This 79-nucleotide transfer RNA is filed under the name Actinomycetota bacterium. RNAcentral describes it as "Actinobacteria bacterium tRNA-Thr". The record is from RNAcentral. Lineage: Bacteria; Bacillati; Actinomycetota.
GCCAGUCCUUGAUUUUCCUCAUGGUCCUAACGCACUCGUAAUGCGUAGGUCCGGAGUUCGAAUCUCCGAGGCGGCUCCA